GCAGGGGGAAAAGAAUAGCACAGGGGUGAUGUCUGGGGACACCUAUGGAAGCAGGGGGAGGGACUGGUGUCCAGAGUAGGCCUCCAGGUUGGAAGGAGGCGUGUCUAUAGAAGGCAGAGGGGACAUCAGGACAGCUGGGAGAACCUCCAGGGUAGGCUCAUGCCUGGCCCAGGCUGGGACAGUGCCCGGAAGUGGGUGGGGCUGAGCUGAAGAGGCAAGGCUAAAGGGACCCAGUAGCAUGGAGGGCCCCUUUAGAAAAUCUAAGGCCACUUCAAUUGCUUCCACAAUCUAUUCCCUGGGCACAGGGUUCCUUGUGUCAGGAAAGCAGAUCAAGUAGCUACGGAGAGUUCCCGAGAACACAAGGACCUGGCCCAAAGAACCUGAUGUUCUCCUUUGGCCAGAAAACUGUCCACCCAUCAACAGAGGUAGAGAAUCAAUGCCAGAGUGAAUCCUUCUUACCGGAACAUGCGAUCCCUUUCCAUCCUGCCUUCUUGUGCCCUCAGUUUCACUCAGCCCUCACUGAGUGCCAGCCUCUGCGGAACUCCUGACUGAGAAUCUAACUCCUUGUGGGCAAGGACUUGGCCCAAUCUAUUCACAGCUCUGUCCUCGGGGCCUCGAGGAGAGGCUGACAAUGAGAAGAAGUGCGGGGCAAAUGAAAGCAUGAGCUCACACUAUUCUUACAAGGACCGGAGAGGCAGGGCAUUUCGUGUUUGGGAUGCACUAAUAGCCUGACAAGGGCUCAGUGCAGCCGAGCAAGGCUGAGUGUGUUCUAAAAGAGUCGUCUGAGGAUUCAGCCGCAAUGACCAUACACUCAGAGCAUAGAGCAAGAUACAGACCCUGUUGGUGGCCACCAUGCCAGAGGAGGUGGAUUUGUCUCCUGGGUUUCCUGUGGAAACAGAUUCUGUCAAGGCUUGUGUUCUGUUCAGUCACACAGGUGGCUUUGCUUAGGAUGAGAAGGAAGCCUGUGAGCAUCUGGGUUUGAGGAUGUGGGGAGGACAGGGAUGAGGGCAAGGAGCCUCGGGCAGUGCUGUGUCUGGUUCCCAAUAGGUGCAGGGAAGGACUGAGACCUGGCAUCACAGCUAGCCUGCUGGUGGGCCAGCCCUGGAGGGACAGACAAAAUGCCUAGGUGGACAGAAACAUCUCCAUCUAGUAGAGCACCUGUAAAGUCACAUUGGAACCUUCUACCGCCUGUGUUUGGCUCGCUCCUCACCAAAGAAGCCGUGGAAAGGAAGGUGCAACAUUGGGGCUUACAUGUUGGUGUCCAUGAUGGCCAAAAAGCUGCAUGACUCUACAUCGCUGGAGUUGAGUGUCAAGUCUGAAACAAGCAAGAAAGCAUACAGCAUGGCUUUCCUUAGAGGCUUGCAAGAACACACACAACAGCAGUGGGUCCCCAGCACACCCCUCACUUGCCAGAUGAGGAAAUGGACCCAGGAGGCAAGGAUUUGCCACAUAUGUAGUGUUUCCAUUUAUAUAAGAGGUGUCCUUCCCGAAAGGUUCAUGUAUAAGGGGCUUAGUCCCUAGCUGGUGGUGGUGCUGUUUUGGGUGGUGGUGCAAGCUGCAAGUACCAUUAGCUGGGACCUAGCAGAUGGAACUAAGUAUACUCUGCCACACCCACACCCUCCUUGCCUCGAAGGGCUGACCCCUCUGAAACCAUAAGCCCAAAUAAAUCAAUUGUUUCUUUCAGGUGUUUGGUCAGAGUGACCACAAAAAAAAUUUUUUUUUCCUAACUGUGUGUUGUGAACUAAGGAAGCUAAUGAUAGAAGCCAGACAGACCCAGACCUUCUCACAGCCAGAGCCCUAACCCUCAAGUCUCUGACUGUUCUUCCCUCCUAGGUGGUGCUAUGUCAGCCACAACCUCCAGUCAGCACUCUCCACUUUCAGAGAUGCUGUCUAGAGCUGGGCACCCAUCCCCAUGGCCUCUAUAGUGAGCGGCCAUGCAUGCUGAGAGCAAUGGCUGAUUUACAGUGGAGUGUGUUGUAAGUAUGUAAUGCAUUAUGUUAAUUCAGGGGCACACAUUUAUGUGUGUCCACACAUGUGUGCAUGCAUAUAUGGUCAGUGCAUCUACAUGUGUGUGUGCACAUGAAGGCCAGAGACUGACAAUGAGUACCCUCUUCAGUGGCUCUCCACCUUACACACUGAGGCAGGCUCUCUCCCUUGAACCGAGAGCUCACAUAUUCACCUAGUGCAGCUGGCUGGCUUGCUCCAGGACGUCCUGUCUCUGUCUCCCGAAUGCUGGGCUUGCCGGUGGGCUGCCACACCCUUGUGACAUUUACAUGGGCUCUAGGGAUUUGAACUCCAGUCCUCGGGCUUGCAUGGAGAGCAUUUAACCUUGAGUCAUCUUUCCACCCCCCAAGAUUUGGAGUUGUUACAUGAGUAAAACUUUUAAAAUUUUUAUUUAACAAAUAAAUUUUAUUUAUUCUUUUAGAAUCUCGUUAAGGAUUUUUAGAUACUGAUCAAAUGCUGACAUGAGAUUCUUUUAAAUAGGUUGAAUAAAAUAUUUUUGAGUGGU
This 2509-nucleotide long non-coding RNA is filed under the name Mus musculus (house mouse). RNAcentral's name for it is "forkhead box O6, opposite strand (Foxo6os)". Lineage: Eukaryota; Metazoa; Chordata; Mammalia; Rodentia; Muridae. The record is from RNAcentral.